Molecule: ribosomal RNA, 292 nt
Filed under: uncultured bacterium
Lineage: Bacteria
Description: partial 16S ribosomal RNA
Rfam family: Bacterial small subunit ribosomal RNA
Source: RNAcentral
GUGCCAGCAGCCGCGGUAAUACGAAGGGUGCAAGCGUUACUCGGAAUUACUGGGCGUAAAGCGUGCGUAGGUGGUGGUUUAAGUCCGUUGUGAAAGCCCUGGGCUCAACCUGGGAAUUGCAGUGGAUACUGGGUCACUAGAGUGUGGUAGAGGGUAGCGGAAUUCCCGGUGUAGCAGUGAAAUGCGUAGAGAUCGGGAGGAACAUCUGUGGCGAAGGCGGCUACCUGGACCAACACUGACACUGAGGCACGAAAGCGUGGGGAGCAAACAGGAUUAGAAACCCCGGUAGUCC